This 575-nucleotide ribosomal RNA is filed under the name Bradypus variegatus (Brown-throated sloth). RNAcentral describes it as "partial 12S ribosomal RNA". It matches the Rfam family "Bacterial small subunit ribosomal RNA", at positions 524 to 1384 of the family's 1533-position model. Lineage: Eukaryota; Metazoa; Chordata; Mammalia; Pilosa; Bradypodidae. The record is from RNAcentral.
UACGAUUAACCCAAACUAAUACUUACCGGCGUAAAAUGUGUUUAGAAUUCCCAAACAAUAAAGUUCAACCAAAACUAGGCCGUAAAAAGCUACAACUGAAAUAAAAACCUCAACGAAAGUGACUUUAACAAAUCCGAAUACACAAUAGCUAGGACCCAAACUGGGAUUAGAUACCCCACUAUGCCUAGCCCUAAACCAGGACAUUUAACUAAACUAAAAUGUUUGCCAGAGUACUACUAGCAACAGCUUGAAACUCAAAGGACUUGACGGUGCUUCACAUCCCCCUAGAGGAACCUGUCCUAUAAUCGACAAACCCCGAUAAACCUCACCACCCCUUGCUAAUACAGCCUAUAUACCGCCAUCUCCAGCAAACCUUAAAAAAGCCCCACAGUAAGCACAACUAUCACACAUAAGUACGUUAGGUCAAGGUGUAGCCCAUGAGGUGGAAAGAGAUGGGUUACAUUUUCUCAAAAAGAAUAACCCACGAAAACUUUUGUGAAAUUUCAAAAGCCAAAGGAGGAUUUAGAAGUAAUUUAAGAAUAGAGAGCUUAAUUGAACUAGGCCAUGAAGCACGC